UCGGUGACCGAUGUCCAGCGUCUUACCUGUUCAAUAUUUAGACUGACUAUCAAAGAGAUCUAAUACUGUCAGGUAAUGACGCUGGAUUGUCAUGUCAU
This is a microRNA precursor of Caenorhabditis elegans, 98 nucleotides long. NCBI's taxonomy places the organism in Eukaryota, Metazoa, Nematoda, Chromadorea, Rhabditida, Rhabditidae. The record is from Ensembl.